UUGGCGGUUUUGCCCUCGGUUGAAAUUUUUUUGCAGCUCUGCCACUGCCCACUGACCUGGAUAUAUCGCUCUUCCCGUUGUUUUCAUUUUUCUCCUGUAGUCAUCAUUUUCAGUUAUCAAGAAUGAGAGAGAGAGAGAGGGACAUCGGAGGCAAAUCCGUAAAACAUAGAGUCGUCGCCCAGUGAAGCCAAUUGAAUCCGAUAAUUUUAAGCUUGGGUCAUUCUGUCAUCUAAUUCUCAGACUAUCAACUCAGCCACGAUCGUGAGAUAAAGAGAUUGGGUUUUUCCCGUGGUUCUGGAAAAGAAAGGACAAGAGGAGAAAUUUAAUCCCAAGGUACUGGUGGUAUAAACAUUCACAAUCAGGAAGAAUUUCCAGGUGGUACAAUGACAAUCAUCUUAAAUGUUUCUGCAAAUUUAACUCUCGAUUUCUCAAACUUCUUUGUAUUGUUUUUGAGCUAGAAUCAAAGGAAAGUGCAAUAAUGAGCUAGGGGAAUCCCGACAGGAAAGAAACAACCAUCCUAUACAACAUGAAUUUCAGUCAUGAACAAACUGAUUGUUGAAAAGUGAUUAUGUCUUAGCACUGUAUUAGAUUCUCCCAUAAUUCCUGAGGUUUACCACAAUCAACAGUCAAAUUUUAGUACAUGGUUUCUUUUUAGUUUUGUAUUUUCAUUUUUUGUGUUAUUACCUAAUUAUGCAAUGUUUGUUUUCCAUUCAGGUCAAGCUGAAGAGAUAUUUGGAAAGGAGGGAAGCUGAAGGAGGGACUUGAUCUACUUCAUCUUUUGUUGUAAAACAGACUUAAAUCUUUUGCUAAUAUAAUGAUCAUGUCAUAUAGUUUUUAUGCUAUUAAAUUUAGCCCUUAAAUAACGUUG
Rosa rugosa (rugosa rose) is the source of this 868-nucleotide long non-coding RNA. RefSeq lists it as uncharacterized. The transcript is spliced from 3 exons. The record is from RefSeq and is a predicted model, not a curated record. NCBI's taxonomy places the organism in Eukaryota, Viridiplantae, Streptophyta, Magnoliopsida, Rosales, Rosaceae.